UACGUAGGGGGCAAGCGUUGUUCGGAAUUACUGGGCGUAAAGGGCGCGUAGGCGGCACGGCAAGUCAGGAGUGAAAGGCCUGGGCUCAACCGAGGAACUGCUUUUGAGACUGCCGAGCUAGAGUGCAGAAAGGGCAACUGGAAUUCCCAGUGUAGCGGUGAAAUGCGUAGAUAUUGGGAAGAACACCUGAGGCGAAGGCGGGUUGCUGGGCUGACACUGACGCUGAGGCGCGAAAGCCAGGGGAGCAAACAGG
Molecule: ribosomal RNA, 253 nt
Filed under: uncultured bacterium
Lineage: Bacteria
Description: partial 16S ribosomal RNA
Rfam family: Bacterial small subunit ribosomal RNA
Source: RNAcentral